This is a long non-coding RNA of Felis catus (domestic cat), 875 nucleotides long. RefSeq lists it as uncharacterized. The record is from RefSeq and is a predicted model, not a curated record. The transcript is spliced from 2 exons. NCBI's taxonomy places the organism in Eukaryota, Metazoa, Chordata, Mammalia, Carnivora, Felidae.
AAUGGGUGGAAAAAGGAGUUUGUGAGCAUUCUUGCUAUGUCACAAUGUUGGACAUGUGACUUAAGAGAAGCAUGUGACAGGUCAGUGUGAUUGGACCAUUUGAUUACCAAGUCCAGACUCUAGAGUGGCUCAGUGGCCAAUGCUGCUUUUUUAAACUGUUAACUGAAACAUUGGUAUGACGGAAGAUCUAUGAAUAAAAGACCUAAAAUCCUUUUAAACGUACUAUUUAUUGGGACAUCCUGAAGGACUGGGGGAAUCCUUGUUCCCGUAUCAUCUCCCAUCUUGCACUUGUUGAUAAUUGUUCGACAUUCAUUCGGCAUUUACUGGAAGCUUCCAGAUGGCGGACAGCGUGCAAGGUGUCUGAGAUGGCAGAAGGAAAAUACAGAGGAACAGGCUGUAUCUCCUCACUCGGGGUACCUGUAUGAAGGCUGCUUCACUCUGGAGGUUUGGACCUGUGUGGGCAUGUCUGGUAAAAUGAUAGGAUGGAUCUGCUGGGAGAGGACUUGUAGAAUACUGGGGACCUUAGCGAGAAAAUUCCUGAAGGUGGAAGACUAUAGAAAUGGUAAUAAGGCCUCAGCUGUUAUAAGAGAGGGGUGACUUCAGUACUUGUGGUAAAGAGGCAGGAUAGGUAGGGUCAAUUGGUAAGAAAUACAGGAGAUAUAUUUGUGUAGAUCACUUAACAGUAGUAUGUAAUCAGUAAAUACUCAUUAUUAUUUGUAUUAUAGUACUCACCCCAGGCUGUCCCUAUAAAAACACAUAUGCAGAGACCUAAGAGACAAAGUGUGAAGAUGCGGAGGUCUUCAUCAGACCAUAUAGAUGUCCUUUAAUGACCUUAUAGAUUGCUAAAUGUUACCAAUAAAUGUUAAUAAUGAUAA